RNAcentral lists this ribosomal RNA (253 nucleotides) under uncultured bacterium. RNAcentral describes it as "partial 16S ribosomal RNA". It matches the Rfam family "Bacterial small subunit ribosomal RNA", at positions 524 to 776 of the family's 1533-position model. The record is from RNAcentral.
UACAGAGGUUCCGAGCGUUGUUCGGGUUCAUUGGGCGUAGAGGGGGCGUAGGCGGCGCGGUGAGUCGGGUGUGAAAUCUCGGAGCUUAACUCCGAAACUGCAUUCGAUACUGCCGUGCUUGAGGACUGGAGAGGAGACUGGAAUUUACGGUGUAGCGGUGAAAUGCGUAGAUAUCGUAAGGAAGACCAGUGGCGAAGGCGGGUCUCUGGACAGUUCCUGACGCUGAGGCACGAAGGCCAGGGGAGCAAACGGG